RNAcentral lists this ribosomal RNA (386 nucleotides) under uncultured prokaryote. Its description in RNAcentral is "bacterial SSU rRNA". It matches the Rfam family "Archaeal small subunit ribosomal RNA", at positions 339 to 725 of the family's 1478-position model. The record is from RNAcentral.
GCGCGAAAACUUUACAAUGCUGGCAACAGCGAUAAGGGAACCUCGAGUGCAAGGUUACAAAUCUGGCUGUCGAGAUGCCUAAAAAGCAUUUCAUAGCAAGGGCCGGGCAAGACCGGUGCCAGCCGCCGCGGUAACACCGGCGGCUCGAGUGGUAACCGUUAUUACUGGGUCUAAAGGGUCUGUAGCCGGCCGGAUAAGUCUCUUGAGAAAUCUGGCAGCUUAACUGUCAGGCUUUCAGGAGAUACUGUCUGGCUCGAGGCCGGGAGAGGUGAGAGGUACUUCAGGGGUAGGGGUGAAAUCUUGUAAUCCUUGAAGGACCACCAGUGGCGAAGGCGUCUCACCAGAACGGACCUGACGGCAAGGGACGAAAGCUAGGGGCACGAACC